RNAcentral lists this ribosomal RNA (440 nucleotides) under uncultured bacterium. RNAcentral's name for it is "partial 16S ribosomal RNA". It matches the Rfam family "Bacterial small subunit ribosomal RNA", at positions 338 to 795 of the family's 1533-position model. The record is from RNAcentral.
CCUACGGGCGGCUGCAGUGGGGGAUAUUGCACAAUGGGGGAAACCCUGAUGCAGCGACGCCGCGUGUGGGAAGACGGUCUUCUGGAUUGUAAACCACUGUCCCCAGGGACGAAAAUGACGGUACCUGGGGAGGAAGCUCCGGCUAACUACGUGCCAGCAGCCGCGGUAAUACGUAGGGAGCAAGCGUUGUCCGGAAUUACUGGGUGUAAAGGGAGCGUAGGCGGGGAUGCAAGUUGGGUGUCAAAACUACCGGCUCAACCGAUAGUCGCACUCAAAACUGCAACUCUUGAGUGAAGUAGAGGCAGGCGGAAGUCCUAGUGUAGCGGUGAAAUGCGUAGAUAUUAGGAGGAACACCAGUGGCGAAGGCGGCCUGCUGGGCUUUUACUGACGCUGAGGCUCGAAAGUGUGGGGAGCAAACAGGAUUAGAUACCCUUGUAGUC